ACGACUACAUAUCAGGCAUAUCAAUAAGCGGAGGAAAAGAAACUAACUAGGAUUCCCCUCAGUAACGGCGAGUGAAGCGGGAAGAGCUCAAAUUUGAAAUCUUACAAGGUUUUACCUUGACGAAUUGUAGUUUAAAGAAGUGUUUUCGGUUAGAGGAGUUUAGUAAAAGUUCUUUGGAAUAGGACAUCAUAGAGGGUGAGAAUCCCGUAUUUGACCUAUUAUUUCCUAGCUUUGUGAUACACUUUCAAAGAGUCGGAUUGUUUGGGAAUGCAGUCCAAAAUGGGUGGUAAAUUUCAUCUAAAGCUAAAUAUUGGCGAGAGACCGAUAGCGAACAAGUACCGUGAGGGAAAGAUGAAAAGAACUUUGAAAAGAGAGUUAAACAGUACGUGAAAUUGUCAAAAGGGAAGCGUUUGACACCAGUGUUGUUUCUACGAAAAUCAAUUAAAUGAUGCUUGAUGCUAAGCUAGUAUGACUUAUCCGCUUGUUGUUUAGUUUUCUUGUCUUUGUGAUGCACUUUUCGUGUAACAAGUCAACAUCAAUUUCUUCUGCUGUAAAAGGGUAGAAGGAAGGUGGCUUCGCUUCGGUUGAAGUGUUUAUAGCCUUUAUGCCUCUGCAGGUCGGAGAGAUUGAGGUCUGCAGCGUAGACUCUUCGGGGUUAGAUACGUCUGUGCUAAGCUAUAGCUUUGUCAUAGACAACUUGUUGACUAUGUUUAGUCAUGUGGCUUACCCGCUGGCGCUAUUUUACCUACGCUUAGGAUGUUGACACACGCGCGUGCUCG
RNAcentral lists this ribosomal RNA (779 nucleotides) under uncultured Neocallimastigales. RNAcentral describes it as "partial large subunit ribosomal RNA". It matches the Rfam family "Eukaryotic large subunit ribosomal RNA", at positions 24 to 643 of the family's 3401-position model. Lineage: Eukaryota; Fungi; Neocallimastigomycota; Neocallimastigomycetes; Neocallimastigales. The record is from RNAcentral.